AAUGUGCGGCGGUGGAUAGGCAUGCAAGUCGAACGAACUUCCGGGGCAACUCGGAGGUGAGUGGCGAAAGGGGCAUUAAGGCAUGGGUAACGUACCCCCUGGUCUGGGAUAGCCUCGGGAACCUGAGGGUAAUACCAGGUAACGUGCAGGCGUCGCAUGGCGCCAUCACCAGAGGUCAGCCGCCGGGGGAGCGGCCCAUGUAGUAUUAGCUUGUUGGCGGGGUAACGGCCCACCAAGGCAAAGAUGCUUAGCGGGUGUGAGAGCACGACCCGCGCCACUGGCACUGAGACACUGGCCAGACUCCUACGGGAGGCUGCAGUCGAGGAUCUUCGGCAAUGGGCGCAAGCCUGACCGAGCGACGCCGCGUGUGCGAUGAAGGCCUUCGGGUUGUAAAGCACUUUGGCGGGGGAGGAAAGCCCGAAAGGGUCUGACCUAUCCCGAGAACAAGCACG
This 452-nucleotide ribosomal RNA is filed under the name uncultured bacterium. RNAcentral describes it as "bacterial SSU rRNA". It matches the Rfam family "Bacterial small subunit ribosomal RNA", at positions 39 to 494 of the family's 1533-position model. The record is from RNAcentral.